RNAcentral lists this ribosomal RNA (343 nucleotides) under uncultured bacterium. RNAcentral describes it as "bacterial SSU rRNA". It matches the Rfam family "Bacterial small subunit ribosomal RNA", at positions 167 to 507 of the family's 1533-position model. The record is from RNAcentral.
UACCGUAUGUUGUCGCACGCUGGCAUCAAAAUGCGACGAAAGGCUUAGCGGACAAGGAUGGGGAUGCGUCCGAUUAGCUUGACGGCGGGGUAACGGCCCACCGUGGCUACGAUCGGUAGGGGUUCUGAGAGGAAGGUCCCCCACAUUGGAACUGAGACACGGUCCAAACUCCUACGGGAGGCAGCAGUGAGGAAUAUUGGUCAAUGGACGGGAGUCUGAACCAGCCAAGUAGCGUGCAGGAUGACGGCCCUAUGGGUUGUAAACUGCUUUUGUGCGGGGAUAAAGUGUGGGACGUGUCCCAUAGUUGCAGGUACCGCAUGAAUAAGGACCGGCUAAUUCCGUG